GACGAACGCUGGCGGCGUGCCUAAUACAUGCAAGUAGAACGCACAGUUUAUACCGUAGCUUGCUACACCAUAGACUGUGAGUUGCGAACGGGUGAGUAACGCGUAGGUAACCUGCCUGGUAGCGGGGGAUAACUAUUGGAAACGAUAGCUAAUACCGCAUAAUAUUAAUUAUUGCAUGAUAAUUAAUUGAAAGGUGCAAUUGCACCACUACAAGAUGGACCUGCGUUGUAUUAGCUAGUAGGUGAGGUAACGGCUCACCUAGGCGACGAUACAUAGCCGACCUGAGAGGGUGAUCGGCCACACUGGGACUGAGACACGGCCCAGACUCCUACGGGAGGCAGCAGUAGGGAAUCUUCGGCAAUGGACGAAAGUCUGACCGAGCAACGCCGCGUGAGUGAAGAAGGUUUUCGGAUCGUAAAGCUCUGUUGUAAGAGAAGAACGGGUGUGAGAGUGGAAAGUUCACACUGUGACGGUAUCUUACCAGAAAGGGACGGCUAACUACGUG
RNAcentral lists this ribosomal RNA (505 nucleotides) under uncultured bacterium. RNAcentral describes it as "partial 16S ribosomal RNA". It matches the Rfam family "Bacterial small subunit ribosomal RNA", at positions 28 to 507 of the family's 1533-position model. The record is from RNAcentral.